AUGCACGACUUCUGCUUCACGAUCCCCUACGGGUUCGCGGUCCUGGCCGGCGGCCUGCUGGGCUACCUCCGCCGCGGCAGCACCGCGUCCCUGGCCGGCGGCGCCGGCGUGGGCGGGCUUCUCCUCCUGGCAGGAUUCGUCAGCCUCAAGGCCUUCGAGAAGCGCCGCAACUCCUACCUCGCCCUCGCACUCGAGACCCUUUGCGCACUGGCCUUGACCUUUGUUAUGGGGCAAAGAUACCUUGAAACUUCAAAGAUAAUGCCGGCUGGUGUCGUUGCUGGUCUCAGUGCUCUGAUGUCGGCAUUCUAUCUAUUCAAAAUUGCUACCGGUGGCAACCAUUUCUCGCCAAAGAAAGAGUAG
This 360-nucleotide ribosomal RNA is filed under the name Triticum aestivum (bread wheat). Its description in RNAcentral is "partial small subunit ribosomal RNA". The record is from RNAcentral. Lineage: Eukaryota; Viridiplantae; Streptophyta; Magnoliopsida; Poales; Poaceae.